UACGUAGGGUGCAAGCGUUAAUCGGAAUUACUGGGCGUAAAGCGUGCGCAGGCGGUUAUGCAAGACAGAUGUGAAAUCCCCGGGCUCAACCUGGGAACUGCAUUUGUGACUGCAUGGCUGGAGUGCGGCAGAGGGGGAUGGAAUUCCGCGUGUAGCAGUGAAAUGCGUAGAUAUCCGGAGGAACACCAGUGGCGAAGGCGACUUCCUGGCCUGUUCUUGACGCUGAGGCGCGAAAGCUGGGGGAGCAAACGGG
This 253-nucleotide ribosomal RNA is filed under the name uncultured bacterium. RNAcentral's name for it is "partial 16S ribosomal RNA". It matches the Rfam family "Bacterial small subunit ribosomal RNA", at positions 524 to 776 of the family's 1533-position model. The record is from RNAcentral.